AUUGAACGCUGGCGGCAUGCCUUACACAUGCAAGUCGAACGGUAACAGGUCUUCGGAUGCUGACGAGUGGCGAACGGGUGAGUAAUACAUCGGAACGUGCCCGAUCGUGGGGGAUAACGAGGCGAAAGCUUUGCUAAUACCGCAUACGAUCUACGGAUGAAAGCGGGGGAUCUUCGGACCUCGCGCGGCCGGAGCGGCCGAUGGCAGAUUAGGUAGUUGGUGGGAUAAAAGCUUACCAAGCCGACGAUCUGUAGCUGGUCUGAGAGGAUGAUCAGCCACACUGGGACUGAGACACGGCCCAGACUCCUACGGGAGGCAGCAGUGGGGAAUUUUGGACAAUGGGCGAAAGCCUGAUCCAGCCAUGCCGCGUGCAGGAUGAAGGUCUUCGGGUUGUAAACUGCUUUUGUACGGAACGAAAAGCCUCUUUCUAAUAAAGAGGGGUCAUGACGGUACCGUAAGAAUAAGCACCGGCUAACUACGUG
This 482-nucleotide ribosomal RNA is filed under the name uncultured bacterium. RNAcentral's name for it is "partial 16S ribosomal RNA". It matches the Rfam family "Bacterial small subunit ribosomal RNA", at positions 30 to 507 of the family's 1533-position model. The record is from RNAcentral.